Molecule: non-coding RNA, 45 nt
Filed under: Schistosoma bovis
Lineage: Eukaryota; Metazoa; Platyhelminthes; Trematoda; Strigeidida; Schistosomatidae
Also listed under: 1 other name
Source: RNAcentral
AUACAACUAACGAAUCCUAAACCGGAUGAAACGCGCGUCCUGAAU